This is a non-coding RNA of Procambarus clarkii (red swamp crayfish), 129 nucleotides long. NCBI's taxonomy places the organism in Eukaryota, Metazoa, Arthropoda, Malacostraca, Decapoda, Cambaridae. The record is from RefSeq and is a predicted model, not a curated record.
GGAUCAGAAACUCAUAUUAUUCUGGUGGUAUCUUCGCUUGUGACAAAGAAGUUCAAGAUCACGUUUCCACUAUUCAGAACCUUAAAACUCAAAGUAGCCAUAUGUGUGGAGUGUCGACAUUGAAAGCUG